GGCCCAUCACGCGGAGACGAUCGCAAUUUGACUGACGAAGACGCGGAGCGUCGCUUAGAGAGGCGUCGUACCCCCACCCGACACCGCCGCCUAUUUACACGAACGGAGCCACUUGCACGUGCACAAAACUGCAUAGGUGUGCGGGGAUCGCGCGCUGGCUUGUGUGCGGAUAGAACGUGCAACAGGGAACACCCAGAGCCCACCCCUACUCUAACUCCACGGAUACGCGCGAAACGUAACUCCCUGUCCAACCGAGAUGUUGAUGUAUUGUGGAAAUGCAAAUUAACAUUCUUCGCUGAAUCACUGAUCGACUAUGACGCUCGCGACAUUUCUUCGGACGCCAAUCGCGACGAUUAUCGUUAUCUCUAGUCUGGAUAGAUUCCUCGCGGUUCGAAGCGUCAUCAGUAUCUUUUCAGCUUUAAGGAUGACAUGGGAAUAUUGCAGUGCGCUAUACUUCCGUAGAAACACCUCGGAUGCUUCAUAGGCUCGCAUAUCUCCAAAAGAAGUUCAUAAGCAUUGAUACUUGUUGAGUCAAUUUUAGAAUAAGCCCACGUGAAAAUAAGAAUCGUGUAAAAUUACACGAAAGAAUGCAUGUAACUGUUUGUUGUAGUUGGUCGAUGAAAAACUGACUGGUAUCCUAGGGGAGAAUCAUUCAGAAGUACCGAUGGAGAUAGUCAAUGACGAUCGACCGGUAUCGCCGUGACGAACUAUUGCGAAACAACCUUCGAAGCGUGAAUUGAGCCUAAUGCGAAUGGUAACGCUCAAAGGAGCAGCAUGACUUUAGACACGGCAACGGCAACUCUUCGUGCAGAAGGAGGACAGCUCGGACAGACGUCAGUGGCAAACGCAAUCGCGCGCAACAGAAUACGAAGAAACAGCCGUUGAAUCGAUUUUUCGGGCUCAUCUUUCUCCGAGGGCGAAGAUAAAGAAGGAUCGCGAACAAACAGUCUUUUCUAAGCCACCUCACCCCUUUUCAGCGUUCUCUUUUCAAACGGAUCCGGUCUUACAACAUAUCUUUUAUCCGUUCCCCGGUCCAAGCGCCUCUAUCAAUCACCAACGUCUUUCGUUUAGUCUAACAAUAACCGUACUAGGAAAAAAUCAACGUAUUCCACGAAGAUUAUUAAUCUAAUCAUGAAAUGGAAAUUGUAGGAGAAUCACGGGACAAUUCUGAGACAAUUGCGAGACAAUUUUUUUUCCACGGAUCUGCCGUGAACUGAAAGUCUGUUUCAUGGACCAGAAGCUGAAGAAGCUGAAGCUGGAUAAAGCUAAACAAUCUUUUUGGCUGUUUAUCCGUUUGCAUGUUUCACCGAUGCCGUCACGCCGAGUAACCACAUGCUGAACGGUUUUCUAGCCCCGUGAUCCAUUGAUCUCAAGUGAAAUGGAUCAAUGGAUGUACUAGACCCGCCUGAAACCGAGAUCUCUUGGUCCACCACUGCUACGAUCCUCGAAAUCCUUGAUCCGAGCUUCCACAGUUCAUUCGGCUUUCAGAAAAAGCUUUAGUUACGAAUGAUAAAUUCUCGACAACUAUUGUAUGACCAUCGAGCCACGUAAGUAUACAAUUUCUUUUAGCGCAGUCAUUAAAAGGUUUCCAGUAGCUAAAGUGUUAAUACAUGUUUUCAGUAAUUUUUCGUGUAGUCGUCUCGGCUCUUGCAAUUCAUCGUCAACAAUUCUUUUUCGUCUUACAAUAUUCUGUAUAUUUAUCAAAACGACUAUUUUACGGAGUUCAUUGCGUCCAUCAUUAUGGUCUUUCGUGAAGGUCAGGCACGCAAGCUGCCGGAUUAGUUGGUUCGCGCGCAGUUCCCGCGGAACUGUUGCUAGACAAAAGUUACAUCACCGCUCCCGCUAUAAAAAUAGUCGGUGGCAGCCGGCUGAUUGACGGACUCUGGAGCCGAAUCUGAUCGACUCUCUGCGUAUCUUCGAAUGCGAAACGGUAGCACGCGCGUGAAACGAGUACAAUAACGUUUCCUGGCAGCAGUUCAAGUAUCUAUAAAAAUUCACCGAGCGGAGAGAAUUCGUGGGCCCGGGCGCGAAAGGCGCAUGAACCUUCUCUCGCACGGCGGACUAUCGUAAUUUGUGCCUCGAUUCGUAUAUCGUAAUGAAAAGACGCCGCCAGAAUUUAGAAGAGUCGGAAAGAAUCCGACUAGUUGAAAUUCCUAGACGGAAAUAUCUGUUAUCGAACGCGGCACACGAAAAAUACUUGAAAAAUGAAAUUGCACUGCUAGCAUGCUGGUUUGGUUGUCUCGAUGUGCUCUUUUCAAAGAUAUUUAUUUCGUUUUCCAAUCAUUUUAAUGUGUUGAAACGUUUGUAUUACAAGUGCAUCAAGUCCGUAUUCUAAUGAUUAGUCUGCAUAACUUUCCUGCACCAGAAAUGGAUAAAACACUAUACCAAACAAUAUUUUACUGCAUUGUAAAUAUGAUUUUAGAACAGCAUUACUAGUACUUUGUUUCGAAAUGUUUCGUACGCUCUAAUUUAUGUUCUGUUCGUCGAUAGCGAUAAAGAAAAAUUAUUAAAUAUACGGUCAUUUACACAUA
Non-coding RNA from Megalopta genalis, 2531 nucleotides. Lineage: Eukaryota; Metazoa; Arthropoda; Insecta; Hymenoptera; Halictidae. The record is from RefSeq and is a predicted model, not a curated record.